GAUCAAGUGACGUAAGGGCAUUUGGUGGAUGCCUUGGCAUGCACAGGCGAAGAAGGACGUGAUACGCUGCGAUAAGCCGUGGGGAGCUGCGAAUGAGCUUUGAUCCAUGGAUCUCCGAAUGGGGGAACCCACCUUAAAUGCCUGGAAAGUUUAAGCUGUCCUUUGGGACGGUUUAGGUUUCCAGGUAUUGUUNUAGAUAUCUAGAAAAUCUGUUCUGUUGAGACCUUCAAUCUGUCUUUGGCAGAAGGCUUGCAGGGGACUUCCCCGGUAGGCCAGAGGCCGUCGCCAAGCGUUUGGCGCGCCGUCCGCAGCGCAGCGAUCGUAGAUCGCGACAGCGUGAGGACAAAAGACCCCGGCAAGUCCGGGUUGGAGGGUGCGGCAGAAGAGGUUUCUAGAUAUCGUGAUAAGGUAUCUUACCUUCGAAUACAUAGGGGUAAGAAGCGAACGCAGGGAACUGAAACAUCUAAGUACCUGCAGGAAAGGACAUCAACCGAGACUCCGUUAGUAGUGGCGAGCGAACGCGGACCAGGCCAGUGGCGAUGAAAGAUAAAGCGGAACGAGUUGGAAAGCUCGGCCAUAGCGGGUGACAGCCCCGUACGCGGUGAGGCUUUCGUCGUCCUUGAGUAGGGCGGGGCACGUGAAACCCUGUCUGAACAUGGGGAGACCACUCUCCAAGCCUAAGUACUCGUGCAUG
RNAcentral lists this non-coding RNA (694 nucleotides) under Xaviernesmea oryzae. RNAcentral's name for it is "Rhizobium oryzae Bacterial large subunit ribosomal RNA". It matches the Rfam family "Bacterial large subunit ribosomal RNA", at positions 1 to 482 of the family's 2925-position model. The record is from Rfam by way of RNAcentral. Lineage: Bacteria; Pseudomonadati; Pseudomonadota; Alphaproteobacteria; Hyphomicrobiales; Rhizobiaceae.